GGGCCAUUGCCGCCGGCUACCAUGCAAGUCGAACGGUGAAGCUCAGCUUGCUGGGUGGAUCAGUGGCGAACGGGUGAGUAACACGUGAGCAACCUGCCCUCCACUUCGGGAUAAGCCUUGGAAACGGGGUCUAAUACCGGAUAUGAGCACUCAUCGCAUGGUGGGUGUUGGAAAGUUUUUCGGUGGGGGAUGGGCUCGCGGCCUAUCAGCUUGUUGGUGGGGUGAUGGCCUACCAAGGCGUCGACGGGUAGCCGGCCUGAGAGGGCGACCGGCCACACUGGGACUGAGACACGGCCCAGACUCCUACGGGAGGCAGCAGUGGGGAAUAUUGCACAAUGGGCGAAAGCCUGAUGCAGCGACGCCGCGUGAGGGAUGACGGCCUUCGGGUUGUAAACCUCUUUCAGCAGGGAAGAAGGCCUUCGGGUGGACGGUACCUGCAGAAGAAGCGCCGGCUAACUACGUGCCAGCAGCCGCGGUAAUACGUAGGGCGCAAGCGUUGUCCGGAAUUAUUGGGCGUAAAGAGCUCGUAGGCGGUCUGUCGCGUCUGGUGUGAAAUCCCAUGGCUCAACUGUGGGCGUGCAUCGGGUACGGGCAGACUAGAGUGCGGUAGGGGAGACUGGAAUUCCUGGUGUAGCGGUGGAAUGCGCAGAUAUCAGGAGGAACACCGAUGGCGAAGGCAGGUCUCUGGGCCGCAACUGACGCUGAGGAGCGAAAGCAUGGGGAGCGAACAGGAUUAGAUACCCUGGUAGUCCAUGCCGUAAACGUUGGGCACUAGGUGUGGGGCUCAUUCCACGAGUUCCGUGCCGCAGCUAACGCAUUAAGUGCCCCGCCUGGGGAGUACGGCCGCAAGGCUAAAACUCAAAGGAAUUGACGGGGGCCCGCACAAGCGGCGGAGCAUGCGGAUUAAUUCGAUGCAACGCGAAGAACCUUACCAAGGCUUGACAUACACCGGGAAACAUCCAGGAGAUGGGUAGCCCCGUAAAGGUCGGGUGUACAGGUG
RNAcentral lists this ribosomal RNA (1000 nucleotides) under Isoptericola variabilis. RNAcentral describes it as "bacterial SSU rRNA". It matches the Rfam family "Bacterial small subunit ribosomal RNA", at positions 26 to 1040 of the family's 1533-position model. The record is from RNAcentral. Lineage: Bacteria; Bacillati; Actinomycetota; Actinomycetes; Micrococcales; Promicromonosporaceae.